This 446-nucleotide ribosomal RNA is filed under the name uncultured bacterium. RNAcentral's name for it is "partial 16S ribosomal RNA". It matches the Rfam family "Bacterial small subunit ribosomal RNA", at positions 338 to 795 of the family's 1533-position model. The record is from RNAcentral.
CCUACGGGCGGCAGCAGUCGAGAAUCAUUCACAAUGGGGGAAACCCUGAUGGUGCGACGCCGCGUGGGGGAAUGAAGGUCUUCGGAUUGUAAGCUCCUGUCAUGUGGGAGCAAAUUAAAAAGAUAGAGUCACAAGAGGAAGCGACGGCGAACUCGGUACCAGCAGCCGCGGUAAUACAGAGGUCUCAAGCGUUGUUCGGAUUGACUGGGCGUAACGCGUGCGUAGGCUGUUUCGUAAGUCGUGUGUGAAAGGCGCGGGCUCAACCCGCGGACGGCACAUGACACUGCGAGACUGGAGUAAUGGAGAGGCAAGCGGAAUUCCCGGUGUAGCAGUGAAAUGCGUAGAUAUAGGGAGGAACACUCGUGGCGAAGGCGGGUUCCUGGACAUUAACUGACGCUGAGGCACGAAGGCCAGGGGAGCGAAAGGGAUUAGAUACCCGGGUAGUC